GACGAACGCUGGCGGCGUGCUUAACACAUGCAAGUCGAACGGAAAGGCCCUGCUUUUGUGGGGUGCUCGAGUGGCGAACGGGUGAGUAACACGUGAGUAACCUGCCCUUGACUUUGGGAUAACUUCAGGAAACUGGGGCUAAUACCGGAUAGGAGCUCCUGCUGCAUGGUGGGGGUUGGAAAGUUUCGGCGGUUGGGGAUGGACUCGCGGCUUAUCAGCUUGUUGGUGGGGUAGUGGCUUACCAAGGCUUUGACGGGUAGCCGGCCUGAGAGGGUGACCGGCCACAUUGGGACUGAGAUACGGCCAAGACUCCUCCGGGAGGAAGCAGUGGGGAAUAUUGCACAAUGGGCGGAAGCCUGAUGCAGCAACGCCGCGUGCGGGAUAACGGCCUUCGGGUUGUAAACCGCUUUCGCCUGUGACGAAGCGUGAGUGACGGUAAUGGGUAAAGAAGCACCGGCUAACUACGUG
Molecule: ribosomal RNA, 468 nt
Filed under: uncultured bacterium
Lineage: Bacteria
Description: partial 16S ribosomal RNA
Rfam family: Bacterial small subunit ribosomal RNA
Source: RNAcentral